This 3035-nucleotide long non-coding RNA is filed under the name Amborella trichopoda. Its description in RNAcentral is "long non-coding RNA (ATRI_LNC003888)". The record is from RNAcentral. Lineage: Eukaryota; Viridiplantae; Streptophyta; Magnoliopsida; Amborellales; Amborellaceae.
UGGAUAGUCUUUAUUUAAUUUUAGGGCUAUAGUUUUUCAGGCACAUACAAAUACAUUUGAUUAUUAUUUUUUAAACGUAUAAAUACAUAUGAUUUUUUUUUUCUUUCUUGAGGUUGGUCGCUAAGUUGAGGAGUUGCAUCUUAAAAUUCUAGAUCCUAGUAAUCCCAAAUGGGACUAUAUGCUCCAACCAUAGCAUAAUAUACUCCUCUAGGUUUUCUACGUAAACCAAGAGAGGGUUCCUGAAAGAAGCCUUCUUCAUAAUCAUUUGCCUUUCUCUUCACACCUACACAGCAAUUAAAAAAUUAAAAAGCUGGAAUAAUGGAAAGGUGAUCAAUCCUUCUUCAAAAGUCUAGCUGGAAAGACUUAAUGCUCAAAGUGCACAUGAUCUCACAUAUCUUAUGUAUUUGGUGACACAUCUAACAUGCAAAGGGGAACCCUUUCAAAACCACAUACUUAAUUCGUUGUACUCUUCUUUUUUUUAAUAAUCUAACAUUGCAUAUGGAUGGUCUUUUGCACUAAGAUUCCCAAAGAUUAAUACUUGUUAUGCAUAGUUUGUCAUAUUGUAUAAAGCUAUCAAGGUACUUUUUUUUUUCUUUUUUUUAAUAAUCUGACACUGCAUAUGGAUGGUAUUUAGCACUAAGAUUCCCAAAGACUAAUAGUUGUUAUGCCUAAUUUGUUAUAUUGUAUAAAGCUGUCAAUGUACAUUGUAAAUCCCCGACAUAUAUCAAACACAAUUUAUAAUUGAUAUAAUGAUUGGGGCGUUUCGUGUAUGAAGGGUGAGGAUGUUAAACUUUCCUUUUUAACCCAUACCAAGUCUAGGUAAAGGAGGUGGUCGUGUUAGACGGUCAACCUAAAACUUGGCCAAAAUUUUUUAUGAAUCCUGAUUCUACAAUAUUAAUUAUGGUGAUUGAGGCUUUGAAAAAAGUUUAGAUAGAGUUGAGGCUCUAAACAAUAAAAUUAGAGCCCACUUCAAAAAUUUCAUUAGAAGAGGUUGUUUUUAUAGCCAAAUAUCCUCAAAUUAUUCAUCUAGAUGCAUGGACAUGAGAAAAAAAUAGAUUUCAACGUUUGGCAAUAGUUCAUCUUCAAAGGCUUUUUUGAACCGCCAAUUUUCAAGAUUUUCAAAUUUUCAUAAAUCUGCUCGAUCUACACUAUUUUUGAAGCUUUAAAUUUUAUAAUUAAAGAUGAAAAUUUAUUUUAAAGCUAUACUAAAAAUUUUAAAUAUUUAAAGCAAUUUUAAGGUAGGUUUCAAUUUCAUUGUUUUGAGCCUCAGCUCUAUACAAACUUCACCCUUAUAACCUUAUACUAUCUUUAGAAGAAUAUCUAUGAGGGAGCUAAAGAUCUGCCCUUAAAAAACUAAAAUGUUUUGGAGAGAGAAAAUGAAGGCAUUUUAGAGAGAGACGAAACUAAGAGGAAAUAAUGUCUUGGCAAAAGAAGAUGGAAGAACGGCAACCUACCCGGGAGACUCGGUCCACCACAAAAAUACACGCUUUCAAGCAAACCGCCGCCCCCCUCUAACCUUUUUGACACCUAAGCGCCCUCUAAAGCCACACAAUAAAUAAAGAAAAUGGAAAUAAGAAAUGAAAAUAGAUAAUUAAAUAUAAAUAAAAUAGGUGCAAAAGAAUAGAAACCACAAAUUCGAAAAAAAUCUACCCAUAAUGAGAAAGGAGUUAACUGCCCAAAAGAAAAUUAUAUAUAAACCAAAUGCAAUAUAAAAAACUGACCACCAAUUAAAAAACGAUUCAAUAAUCUCCAUAAAAAAAGAAGAAAUCAUCCACUAAUAAAAAAACCACCCAACAAAAAACUAACGCGUUGUCUCAUAAGAAAAUAAUUUAUUAUAUAGGCUCUUUAUUUAGUAGGAAAAUUGUUUGAUGUGGGCGGGACAGCUUGACUACAUAUGCGGUUCAAAUUGUGUAAAACAUCCAUCUUAAAGAUGAAUGUAAGUAGGUGUUUCAUUUAAAAAUAAUGAAAACUAACGAUUUAAAUAUUUUUUUACUAUAAUUAUUAUUUUUAAUUUUUAUUAUUUAUUCAUAUUCAUGAUUCAAAUGUCCUUAAAAAUUAAAUGCAAAAAUCCAUCUAAAAAAUAAUAAUUAUUGAGAUGGAUUUUUGCAUAAGGCCGCAUAAACCGGGUCCUUUAGUAAAACAAGAGAAAAGGGGAAAAGUCGUCAAUUUGCAGCUAUAAAUUCCCAUGAGAACCCCCUACCUUCUCAGGCCUCCGAGACUCAGCAUUCAUUGCCAUCCCUUGCCUGAGCCGUGCCUCUUCUCUUUCUCUCUCUCUCUCUUCGGAUUCCGACGAAACUCUCGUUGUAUUCAUUCGCCGGAAUCCCGAAAAUGGAGAUGCGAAAGAUAACAUGCGCUGCCCUCAUUGUGGCCGCCGCCACUCUGAGCGUCGCCACCGCCCAUGGGCAUGAGGCCCCGGCACCCGCCCCUGCCAUGCACAACGAUGCCGCCCCCAUCGCCACCUCUCUCAUCGGAGCCUCUCUCCUCUCUCUCCUCGCUUUCCUUAUGAACUAGGAAAAUUCCUCUAGAGAGGAAAAAAUAAAGAGACAAAUGAAACUUUUGGUAGAGUUUGAAGAACCUCUAGAGAGGGAAGAUAAUGAAACAAGGGUUUCUUUUGUUGAGUUUUAAUGCCCUCUAGAAAGGGGACAUAAGGUAGAUGGGCUUUUGGAAGCCUUGGAGAAAAGGGAAUCAUGGUGGAUUAUUACGGUGAGAUGGCCUUUUAUUUAUUUCCUUUGUUUUUGUUGUUUUUUUUUUUUUUUUUUUGGGUGGUGGCAUUCUUGAGUUUGUUGUUUUGUUAUUGUUUUCAUUUUUUGGUGGGUGAAAAUGGAGGGGCAGUACAAGUUUGAUGUGGAAGGUGUGGGUGUGAGGGAUGUGAAUGCAAUAAUGAAACUCUGAUUGUAACCUUAAUAUUAUUUUAAUUAUUUCUCGGAAUGUUUAUGUUGCUUAAACUUUCCUCCGGAUUGCUCUGUUUUUUGUUUGGAAAAUGGAAGAAAUUAAAUCUUCCAAGUAGAAAUGCUCAUUAUUUUGGGAGAAAUAUC